RNAcentral lists this non-coding RNA (85 nucleotides) under Klebsiella pneumoniae. Lineage: Bacteria; Pseudomonadati; Pseudomonadota; Gammaproteobacteria; Enterobacterales; Enterobacteriaceae. RNAcentral also lists the same sequence under 5 other names. The record is from RNAcentral.
UUCAAUGGUGGCUCAGGCAGGGGCUUCGAAAGAAGCGCCGGGUCGUGAUAACCGGUACGCCAACCCUGUCUGGGUCACCACCAGU